AAGUGUCUCACCUGUAGUCAAAGAGGGGCAGCAUCAAACCAGACACUGCUUUUGGCAGUGAAAUGAGCAAAGAGUGCCCCCACGGGUAACACUUCAUGUUGGUGAGGACAUGGGAAAGCACUACUACAAACCUCUGGAGAACAAUUUCUAUGAAGUGUGAAGAAUAGAGUUUUUGACAAUUGUACUUGCUCUCUUCACUCUUCGGGAUUCUAUAAGAGAUGUCCAGCAAGCAGCAAAGCUGGGCUUACAAUGUUCUACCAGGCAUGGAAGGAAGCACUGCAAAGCUGACAUCAGCACAAAUACCUGUGGAAACUGCAGGGGCCAAGGCAAUGAGGUGCUACUUCAAGUAGGAUGUGACCAUUUGACAUGUCCUGCUGACAACUGAACAAAAUGCUCUAAUAUGGCAAAGAAUGAGCCGCAUCUUCAAAACCGAGCAGCAACUUCGUUCUCAUUCUGCAGAAGAGUGGUUUACAAACAAAUCUCCAACCACUUCAAAUUCACUCAACCUUCAACCUUUGGAGGGCAAAUGUGCUCGCAAACAUUGAUUUCCAGAAAAGGUAACUGUGUCUCCAAUA
RNAcentral lists this non-coding RNA (575 nucleotides) under Pongo abelii (Sumatran orangutan). The record is from RNAcentral. Lineage: Eukaryota; Metazoa; Chordata; Mammalia; Primates; Hominidae.